RNAcentral lists this transfer RNA (78 nucleotides) under Neorhizobium petrolearium. Its description in RNAcentral is "Rhizobium petrolearium tRNA-Gly". Lineage: Bacteria; Pseudomonadati; Pseudomonadota; Alphaproteobacteria; Hyphomicrobiales; Rhizobiaceae. The record is from RNAcentral.
GCGAAGUGCCGGCAAUUGCUCAAAUAGGCCGAGCUUCCCAAGCUGAAUACGAGGGUUCGAUUCCCUUCACCCGCUCCA